Molecule: long non-coding RNA, 616 nt
Organism: Harmonia axyridis
Lineage: Eukaryota; Metazoa; Arthropoda; Insecta; Coleoptera; Coccinellidae
Exons: 3
Source: RefSeq, a predicted model, not a curated record
CAUUUUGAUGUUUGAAUUUGACAUGCGAAACUUGCGUCAUUUCAAUACCAUUGUCCUUUUAUAUCGAAAUUAAAGCAUAAUUUUGUUUUUUAUGGAUUAUUCAACAACUACCCAACAAAAAGAAUAUGGUGAAUUUAUCAAUAAAAUACAAUUUUUAUCAUAUGUCCAAGGAAGUUUAUCUUAUAUUCUAAUGUCACUGUUAGAAGUUCAUCAUGAUUUUAUUUUAAGCUGGAUAUACAUUUUUUAGUUACACUGGAGAAUAUUUCUUCUCAUUCCUCUUCUAUAAUAUGGUUUAUGGAAUGGCAGUGAUGAUAUAUUUUCGCCCAUCAUUGCAAAGAAUAUAUGGAUUUCACAAAUUCACAUUCAGCUUACUGGCAUCUCUAAUGUUCAACCAUUCAUGUAUGAAAUUGUUCCGAUGGAUAUUUACUACAAUGAGAGAUCAACCUAUGGCUCGAACUGUAGUAUCAUUUUGUUGUGGGAGAAUUGUUAUAUUUUUAUUUAUUUCAUACCUAUAUCACGUGGAUAACACCGUAGGCUACACAAUCUUUCAACGAAUUUGAUACUAUUUUUAACAAAAUGAUGUAAUCUAUAAAUUUAAAUAAAUUAUUAACAGAAA